CCAAUAGCGUAUAUUAAAGUUGCUGCAGUUAAAAAGCUCGUAGUUGAAUUUCGGGACCAAUAUGUCGGUCGUGCUUCGGUACGUACUUGCAUUAUUGGUUUCUCCCUUCUGACGAACCAUGAUGUCAUUAAUUUGGUGUCUUGGGGAAUCAGGACUGUUACUUUGAAAAAAUUAGAGUGUUUAAAGCAGGCUCACGCUUGAAUACAUUAGCAUGGAAUAAUGAAAUAGGACGUUUGAUUCUAUUUUGUUAGUUUCUAGGAUCGACGUAAUGAUUAAUAGGGAUAGUUGGGGGCAUUAGUAUUCAAUUGUCAGAGGUGAAAUUCUUGGAUUUAUUGAAGACUAACUACUGCGAAAGCAUUUGCCAAGGAUGUUUUCAUUAAUCAAGAACGAAAGUUAGGGGAUCGAAGACGAUCAGAUACCGUCGUAGUCUUAACCAUAAACUAUGCCGACUAGGGAUCGGAUGAUGUUAAUUUUUUAAUGACUCAUUCGGCGCCUUACG
Molecule: ribosomal RNA, 499 nt
Filed under: uncultured Glomeromycotina
Lineage: Eukaryota; Fungi; Glomeromycota
Description: partial small subunit ribosomal RNA
Rfam family: Eukaryotic small subunit ribosomal RNA
Source: RNAcentral